GCAAGUCGAACGGCAGCACGAGAAAGCUUGCUUUCUUGGUGGCGAGUGGCGGACGGGUGAGUAACGCGUAGGAAUCUACCCUAGAGCGGGGGAUAACCCGGGGAAACCCGGGCUAAUACCGCAUAAUACUUAAGAGUCAAAGUGUGCCUCUGUUUCAUGCAUACACUCUGGGAUGAGCCUGCGUCCGAUUAGCUAGUUGGUGGGGUAAAGGCCUACCAAGGCGACGAUCGGUAGCUGGUCUGAGAGGACGAUC
This 253-nucleotide ribosomal RNA is filed under the name uncultured bacterium. RNAcentral describes it as "partial 16S ribosomal RNA". It matches the Rfam family "Bacterial small subunit ribosomal RNA", at positions 57 to 305 of the family's 1533-position model. The record is from RNAcentral.